This is a ribosomal RNA of Ralstonia solanacearum, 2879 nucleotides long. It matches the Rfam family "Bacterial large subunit ribosomal RNA". The record is from Rfam. NCBI's taxonomy places the organism in Bacteria, Pseudomonadati, Pseudomonadota, Betaproteobacteria, Burkholderiales, Burkholderiaceae.
GGUCAAGCGAAUAAGUGCAUGUGGUGGAUGCCUUGGCGAUCACAGGCGAUGAAGGACGUAGUAGCUUGCGAAAAGCUGCGGGGAGCUGGCAAACGAGCUUUGAUCCGCAGAUGUCCGAAUGGGGAAACCCGGCCCGUAUGGGUCAUCCCUUGCUGAAUACAUAGGCAAGGGAGGCGAACGCAGUGAACUGAAACAUCUAAGUAGCUGCAGGAAAAGAAAUCAACCGAGAUUCCCAAAGUAGUGGCGAGCGAAAUGGGAACAGCCUUGUACUCUUUAGCAGUAUUGUUAGCGGAACGGAAUGGAAAGUCCGGCCAUAGUGGGUGAUAGCCCCGUACGCGAAAACAGUAUUGUGGAACUAGGUGUACGACAAGUAGGGCGGGACACGUGAAAUCCUGUCUGAAGAUGGGGGGACCAUCCUCCAAGGCUAAAUACUCGUGAUCGACCGAUAGUGAACCAGUACCGUGAGGGAAAGGCGAAAAGAACCCCGGGAGGGGAGUGAAAUAGAUCCUGAAACCGCAUGCAUACAAACAGUCGGAGCCUGGAAACGGGUGACGGCGUACCUUUUGUAUAAUGGGUCAGCGACUUACAUUCAGUGGCAAGCUUAACCGAUUAGGGAAGGCGUAGCGAAAGCGAGUCCGAAUAGGGCGUUCAGUCGCUGGGUGUAGACCCGAAACCAAGUGAUCUAUCCAUGGCCAGGUUGAAGGUGCGGUAACACGUACUGGAGGACCGAACCCACUAACGUUGAAAAGUUAGGGGAUGAGCUGUGGAUAGGGGUGAAAGGCUAAACAAACUUGGAAAUAGCUGGUUCUCUCCGAAAACUAUUUAGGUAGUGCCUCGUGUCUCACCUUCGGGGGUAGAGCACUGUCAUGGUUGGGGGGUCUAUUGCUGAUUACCCCGCCAUAGCAAACUCCGAAUACCGAAGAGUGCAAUCACGGGAGACAGACAUCGGGUGCUAACGUCCGGUGUCAAGAGGGAAACAACCCAGACCGCCAGCUAAGGUCCCUAAGAUUGGCUAAGUGGGAAACGAAGUGGGAAGGCUAAAACAGUCAGGAGGUUGGCUUAGAAGCAGCCACCCUUUAAAGAAAGCGUAAUAGCUCACUGAUCGAGUCGUCCUGCGCGGAAGAUGUAACGGGGCUAAGCCAGUCACCGAAGCUGCGGAUGCACGUAAGUGCAUGGUAGGAGAGCGUUCUGUAAGCCUGUGAAGGUGUCUUGUAAAGGAUGCUGGAGGUAUCAGAAGUGCGAAUGCUGACAUGAGUAGCGAUAAAGGGGGUGAAAGGCCCCCUCGCCGUAAGCCCAAGGUUUCCUACGCAACGUUCAUCGGCGUAGGGUGAGUCGGCCCCUAAGGCGAGGCAGAGAUGCGUAGCUGAUGGGAAGCAGGUUAAUAUUCCUGCACCGUCGUAUGAUGCGAUGGGGGGACGGAUCGCGGAAGGUUGUCCGGGUGUUGGAAGUCCCGGUCCCUACAUUGGAGAUGGCACUUAGGCAAAUCCGGGUGCGUGAUUCAAGGGUGUGGGGCGAGCGACGUUAGGUCGCGAAGCAAUUGGAAGUGGUUCCAAGAAAAGCCUCUAAGCUUCAGUCAUACGAGACCGUACCGCAAACCGACACAGGUGGGCGAGAUGAGUAUUCUAAGGCGCUUGAGAGAACUCGGGAGAAGGAACUCGGCAAAUUGGUACCGUAACUUCGGGAUAAGGUACGCCCUUGUAGUUUGACUGGCUCGCGCCAGAAGGAUGAAGGGGUUGCAAUAAAAUGGUGGCUGCGACUGUUUAAUAAAAACACAGCACUCUGCAAACACGAAAGUGGACGUAUAGGGUGUGACGCCUGCCCGGUGCCGGAAGAUUAAAUGAUGGGGUGCAAGCUCUUGAUUGAAGUCCCGGUAAACGGCGGCCGUAACUAUAACGGUCCUAAGGUAGCGAAAUUCCUUGUCGGGUAAGUUCCGACCUGCACGAAUGGCGUAACGAUGGCCACACUGUCUCCUCCCGAGACUCAGCGAAGUUGAAGUGUUUGUGAUGAUGCAAUCUCCCCGCGGCUAGACGGAAAGACCCCAUGAACCUUUACUGUAGCUUUGCAUUGGACUUUGAACCGAUCUGUGUAGGAUAGGUGGGAGGCUUUGAAACCGGGACGCUAGUUUCGGUGGAGCCGACCUUGAAAUACCACCCUGGUUUGUUUGAGGUUCUAACCUUGGCCCGUGAAUCCGGGUCGGGGACAGUGCAUGGUAGGCAGUUUGACUGGGGCGGUCUCCUCCCAAAGUGUAACGGAGGAGUUCGAAGGUACGCUUGGUACGGUCGGACAUCGUACCUAAAGUGCAAUGGCAAAAGCGUGCUUAACUGCGAGACCGACAAGUCGAGCAGGUGCGAAAGCAGGACAUAGUGAUCCGGUGGUUCUGUAUGGAAGGGCCAUCGCUCAACGGAUAAAAGGUACUCUGGGGAUAACAGGCUGAUACCGCCCAAGAGUUCAUAUCGACGGCGGUGUUUGGCACCUCGAUGUCGGCUCAUCUCAUCCUGGGGCUGUAGCCGGUCCCAAGGGUAUGGCUGUUCGCCAUUUAAAGAGGUACGUGAGCUGGGUUUAAAACGUCGUGAGACAGUUUGGUCCCUAUCUGCCGUGGGCGUUGGAAUCUUGACGGGGGCUGCUCCUAGUACGAGAGGACCGGAGUGGACGUACCGCUGGUGUACCUGUUGUCUCGCCAGAGGCAUCGCAGGGUAGCUAUGUACGGAAGAGAUAACCGCUGAAAGCAUCUAAGCGGGAAACUCGCCUGAAGAUGAGGAUUCCCUGGAGACUUGAUCUCCCUGAAGGGUCGUUCGAGACCAGGACGUUGAUAGGCUGGGUGUGGAAGCGCAGUAAUGCGUUCAGCUAACCAGUACUAAUUGCCCGUGCGGCUUGAUCCU